UACGUAGGGUGCGAGCAUUGUCCGGAAUUAUUGGGCGUAAAGGGCUCGUAGGCGGCCAACUAAGUCAGACGUGAAAUCCCUCGGCUUAACCGGGGAACUGCGUCUGAUACUGGAUGGCUUGAGUUUGGGAGAGGGAUGCGGAAUUCCAGGUGUAGCGGUGAAAUGCGUAGAUAUCUGGAGGAACACCGGUGGCGAAGGCGGCGACCUGGGUAGAUACUGACGCUGAGGUGCGAAAGCGUGGGGAGCAAACAGG
This 253-nucleotide ribosomal RNA is filed under the name uncultured bacterium. Its description in RNAcentral is "partial 16S ribosomal RNA". It matches the Rfam family "Bacterial small subunit ribosomal RNA", at positions 524 to 776 of the family's 1533-position model. The record is from RNAcentral.